GGAGACUCUUUCAGAAACGUCCGUCUUCAGCUGCGGCCUGCCUGCAUGUACAGCAACACCACCAAACUUUGGCACCUGCAGCACCACCUGUUCUGGGACAAACGUUGUCUGCAAUAACGGAUAUUGUGUGUGUGACAUCAUGUACGUCAAACUUGGCAGCAGUUGUGUCCAGGAUUGCGGUGGAUCUGGAUAUGGAUCAAGCAUGACGAUCUUUAACAGCACAUUAGCU
Long non-coding RNA from Haliotis rubra (blacklip abalone), 229 nucleotides. RefSeq lists it as uncharacterized. Lineage: Eukaryota; Metazoa; Mollusca; Gastropoda; Lepetellida; Haliotidae. The record is from RefSeq and is a predicted model, not a curated record. The transcript has 3 exons.